This 395-nucleotide ribosomal RNA is filed under the name uncultured bacterium. Its description in RNAcentral is "partial 16S ribosomal RNA". It matches the Rfam family "Bacterial small subunit ribosomal RNA", at positions 523 to 918 of the family's 1533-position model. The record is from RNAcentral.
AUACGUAGGGGGCGAGCGUUGUCCGGAAUGAUUGGGCGUAAAGGGCGCGUAGGCGGCCCGGUAAGUCUGGAGUGAAAGUCCUGUUUUUAAGAUGGGAAUUGCUUUGGAUACUGUCGGGCUUGAGUGCAGGAGAGGUAAGUGGAAUUCCCAGUGUAGCGGUGAAAUGCGUAGAGAUUGGGAGGAACACCAGUGGCGAAGGCGACUUCCUGGCACAAUACUGACGCUCAUGUGCGAAAGCUAGGGUAGCGAACGGGAUUAGAUACCCCGGUAGUCCUAGCCGUAAACGAUGGAUACUAGGUGUGGGUGUCGCAGGGCAUCCGUGCCGCAGCUAACGCGUUAAGUAUCCCGCCUGGGGACUACGGUCGCAAGACUGAAACUUAAAGGAAUUGACGGGG